Non-coding RNA from Triticum aestivum (bread wheat), 113 nucleotides. The record is from Rfam. Lineage: Eukaryota; Viridiplantae; Streptophyta; Magnoliopsida; Poales; Poaceae.
AGAGGAAGGAUGCCUGGUAAUGUGCAUAGAGAUUGACUGAACUCAGUCUGCAUGUCUGCUCGCCCUGAUGCCUUCGGGCUUUACUCUUGCUGGCCUGUAUUUGACCCACACUA